CCCACAUUGUCCAACACAACUUAGAAAUUGCCCCACAUGUAGUGUGUUUUGGUGAUGGUCAUGCUAAAAGUCAGUGUACUGUCAGAAAAAUGCAUCCUUGCCAGAUUAUGCCUCAACUCAUUCACCAGAAAGAAUUGUUAGGUGGAAUAUUUGGAGGAGAAAUAGCUUUGAUUAGCCAGUCAAGUAGAGAUUUGAAGGAAGGGGAUGCUUAAUCUGGCAGGGGUAUCAUUUUUUGGGGUUAAAAAGCACAAUUUCUAUAUAUGUUGUCUUUAAAAUCAAAAGAUUAAAAACUUUCAACGACUUAAGAUUAUGAUGAGUGUUAAACACAUCAUAACAGUCUUGUGAAAAGGGUCCAUUCAUUUCCAGUGAAGGGGAAAGAGAUGUUUCCCCCAUGCCGGCCACGCCCCCAGUUAUGACACGAUGCUGACCUAAUAUAAAGACGAGUUCUAUUUCAUUUUCCAGCAGAAAAUACCUGAAUGACGAGGUAUCGUGAUGGAUCUCUGGCCAUUUUGGAAAACUCUACCACAAGUUCGCGAAAAGUCGGCAUUAGCACUCACACUUGACCAUGAUCAUGUAGACGUCUAUGGUGCAGAUGUUGGGCUGUGGCAGACGCUCCCCUUUCUCCAGGAUAUCUGCGAUCUCUCGGGCUGGAAUCCCAUUGUACGGUUUGGAGCCGAAUGUCAUCAACUCCCAGACUGUCACUCCUGAUGCAGAGCCGAGCCAGGCCGAAGUCGGUGAUCUUCACGUGGUUGGGAGUUUUGACCAGCACAUUUCUGGCUGCUAAAUCACGAUGCACAAGGUGACGCUCCUCCAAGUAGCUCAUUCCCUGUUGAAGAAGAGGGUUGGGUCACAGGGGCAGCAGUCUCAGGAGAGAAUCCCAGACUUCCUUCUCCUCAGACACUUCUUCUUGCUUCUCCAGGGGGAUCCUGAGGCAUUCCCUGGCCAGCCGAGAAACAUAGUCCCUCCAGCGUGUCCUGGGUCUUCCCCGAGGCCUCCUCCCGGUGGGACAUGCCUGGAACACCUCCCUAGGAGGCGCCGUAGGGUCCGCUUUCGUCUGAUGUGUCGACGACGGAAAAUGACAAAGAUGAAGAGGAGGAUUAUCAUGACAAGCAGCAUCCCUCCGACAACCCCAGCCGCCACCACAGGCAUGUGAGAGCUGGAGAAAGAAAUGUAUUAAAACAGACUCUGGGGCAAACCGGUGCACCGUGAGGAAACCCACGCGGACAUGUGAAGAACGUGCAAACUCCACACAAUUGCCAACUGGCCCGGCCAGGACUCGAACCAGUGACCUUCUUGUUGUGACCUUCU
Danio aesculapii is the source of this 1308-nucleotide long non-coding RNA. RefSeq lists it as uncharacterized. The transcript is spliced from 6 exons. The record is from RefSeq and is a predicted model, not a curated record. NCBI's taxonomy places the organism in Eukaryota, Metazoa, Chordata, Actinopteri, Cypriniformes, Danionidae.